Molecule: ribosomal RNA, 440 nt
Filed under: uncultured bacterium
Lineage: Bacteria
Description: partial 16S ribosomal RNA
Rfam family: Bacterial small subunit ribosomal RNA
Source: RNAcentral
CCUACGGGUGGCUGCAGUGGGGAAUAUUGCACAAUGGGGGAAACCCUGAUGCAGCGACGCCGCGUGAGCGAUGAAGUAUUUCGGUAUGUAAAGCUCUAUCAGCAGGGAAGAAGAUGACGGUACCUGACUAAGAAGCCCCGGCUAACUACGUGCCAGCAGCCGCGGUAAUACGUAGGGGGCAAGCGUUAUCCGGAUUUACUGGGUGUAAAGGGAGCGUAGUCGGCGAUGCAAGCCAGAUGUGAAAGCCCGGGGCUCAACCCCGGAACUGCAUUUGGAACUGUGUGGCUGGAGUGUAGGAGAGGCAGGCGGAAUUCGUAGUGUAGCGGUGAAAUGCGUAGAUAUUAGGAGGAACACCAGUGGCGAAGGCAGCCUGCUGGACUAUGACUGACGUUGAGGCUCGAAAGCGUGGGGAGCAAACAGGAUUAGAUACCCGAGUAGUC